AUUGAACGCUGGCGGCAUGCUUUACACAUGCAAGUCGAACGGUAACAGGCCUUCGGGUGCUGACGAGUGGCGAACGGGUGAGUAAUGCAUCGGAACGUGCCCAGAGGUGGGGGAUAACGCAGCGAAAGCUGUGCUAAUACCGCAUGUGAUCUGAGGAUGAAAGCGGGGGACCAGGCAGCAAUGUUUGGCCUCGCGCCUUUGGAGCGGCCGAUGUCAGAUUAGGUAGUUGGUGGGGUAAAGGCCUACCAAGCCGACGAUCUGUAGCUGGUCUGAGAGGACGACCAGCCACACUGGGACUGAGACACGGCCCAGACUCCUACGGGAGGCAGCAGUGGGGAAUUUUGGACAAUGGGCGCAAGCCUGAUCCAGCAAUGCCGCGUGCGGGAAGUAGGCCUUCGGGUUGUAAACCGCUUUUGUACGGAACGAAAAGGCUCUGGCUAAUACCUGGGGCUGAUGACGGUACCGUAAGAAUAAGCACCGGCUAACUACGUG
RNAcentral lists this ribosomal RNA (492 nucleotides) under uncultured bacterium. RNAcentral describes it as "partial 16S ribosomal RNA". It matches the Rfam family "Bacterial small subunit ribosomal RNA", at positions 30 to 507 of the family's 1533-position model. The record is from RNAcentral.